RNAcentral lists this ribosomal RNA (253 nucleotides) under uncultured bacterium. Its description in RNAcentral is "partial 16S ribosomal RNA". It matches the Rfam family "Bacterial small subunit ribosomal RNA", at positions 524 to 776 of the family's 1533-position model. The record is from RNAcentral.
GACAGAGGGUGCAAACGUUGUUCGGAAUUACUGGGCGUAAAGCGUGUGUAGGCGGCUAAGCAAGUCGGAUGUGAAAGCCCCGGGCUCAACCUGGGAAUUGCAUUUGAGACUGCAUAGCUAGGGUGCGGAAGAGGGAAGCGGAAUUUCCGGUGUAGCGGUGAAAUGCGUAGAUAUCGGAAGGAACAUCAGUGGCGAAAGCGGCUUCCUGGUCCAGCACCGACGUUCAGGCACGAAAGCGUGGGGAGCAAACAGG